UUACGCUGUAUUAUUUCCAGCAAAACAUUGUAUUGUUUAUUAUUAAGAAACACUUUUGUUUUCUCAGUAAUCCUGAUAAUUCUUUUCAAAUAUUUCACAUAAAAACGUACAACAAAUUUUCCUAUAUAAAGGGUUGCACAUUCAUGUAUAACCAAAAGCAGAACCUGCUAGAAGAUUUACAAUGAAGCAGCUAACAAUCUUGUUUGUCAUCAUUUCCGCCUUGAUUCUUUGCUAUGAACCAGUUUUAGCAUGUAUUCCUAAUGGUAAACCAUGCCAAGCUGAUGGUAGUGAGGGAAACUGUUGUUCUGAAUUCUGUUAUCAACAAGUAGGAUGGGCCCAAGGAGAUUGUAGAGACCGUUAGAAAUGAUCCUGUGCGGUAAAAUGUUAACAAAACAUGAAUAAAAACAUACUUAAAACGAA
Molecule: long non-coding RNA, 420 nt
Organism: Aethina tumida (small hive beetle)
Lineage: Eukaryota; Metazoa; Arthropoda; Insecta; Coleoptera; Nitidulidae
Exons: 2
Source: RefSeq, a predicted model, not a curated record